This is a non-coding RNA of Carica papaya (papaya), 3358 nucleotides long. The record is from RefSeq and is a predicted model, not a curated record. Lineage: Eukaryota; Viridiplantae; Streptophyta; Magnoliopsida; Brassicales; Caricaceae.
UUCUCUCUUAAACAACCACUAGGGAACUAUCUGUCUUAAAAUAAUCUGGGGAGCUAUCAGGAAACCUGUUUGGUCCUUUUAUCAGCCAAGAAUUUCUAUUAUGUAUCUCUUAUAUCAUAAUUUAGAUAUAAAAGAAAUUAUCUAUUCUGGUUCACCCACUCAGUGACUAACACAGUUGCAAACAUUUGUUAACUGACAUUUAUGUGGGAGGAAGUAAACUAGCCUUACAGUCACCUUGCGGACGGUGAUUCAUGCACUUAAAUAUUCAAUCACCUUGUGGACGGUGAUUCAUGCACUUAAAUAUUCAUUUGAAAUUUUGUAGGUAGAGUGCCACCUCCUAUGUCAUCUGUCAAGUUGAUUGUUUUUUUCUUUUUAAGAUUUAAAAGAUUCAUCAGUCAUAAGGUACCUAGAAGUAGAGAGAGAGUAGUUGGGACUUUUGCAUUGCUAACAUUAUCAUCUCAUUUUGCUUUCCUGUUUGCAUCUAGUAUUGGAAUACUCACUUUGUUUUUUGUGGACAUUCUAAGGUUUGUUUCUAGAGGUAAGAAGUAUCCCCCAUUUGUAAGUACAAUCUUGCUUUCCUCUAAUUGAGCAUUGAACAUCAGACUUCCUGCUGAAUACUUUGGUAGUUUCUAAUUGUUCUUGUUUUUGUAAAUUCAUUUUGUUUCAUUGAAACUGGGGAUUGCCUAAGGCUUGCGUUGCUUACCUCUUUCUUUCUGGACAAGGUUUUCCCAAAAUUUGUGUUUCCUCUCUUGUUUGAUUAAUUUAAUUUGUUGUAGUGUAUGCGCCAUCCGUGUGAUCACUUGAUUAUAUUUUGUUAUAUUUUUUAACCUAUUUCUUUCCUAUUAUCUUACAACUUUUCAGGCAUGAUCUUUCUUGGCGCUCUUGUCAACCUGAUUUCUUACCCCUUGCUUGUUGGAAGUUUGGGACUCACAUCUUUUACCUUGCUGUACUGUUAUUACAUUUGCAGAGAUUUGCCUUAGAAGUUCAGUUCACUCAGUCGCUGUUCGGAAGGCCAUUCAAAAGUUUAUUAUUAAUAAUAUUUUGAAUUUCUUUUGUAGGAUGAAAUCUUCUGCAGAUCUUUAUAUCUUAUAUUUCUCCGGUGGCUAAUGUUUUCUGAUUAGUAUGUUUAACAGUCUCCAAGAACUGGUUACUGACAAUUUUUUGUUGUGUUUUAUUUUCUGAUGAAUUAUUUCAUCUUGUGCUAAACUGCUUGUUUUUAUAUUUCUUUUAAUUCUCUGAUAAUGAUAUUCAAGUUGUUGUGAGGAUGGAUACUAAUUUCUGCUAAUGAUCUGGAGCUUCUAGGCCUUCUGUCUCAUUUCCUUUCACAGAAGGUGGUAAUGCCCCAGAAUAAGAGGGAAUUUGGGUAUGUGGAAGAUAUUUUUAUCUUUUAAUCAUGAAUUUAUGCUUGCAUUACAUUGUCUUCGUGGUAUGAAUUCAUCUGCAAUAAUUCUGAUCUGUCUUCCUAGUUUAUGUGGCAGGUGACUGUCUGGCUAAUGGCUGAGAUUUGAGUGUUGCAAAUUAUGGCAGCACUUGAGUUGGUUUUGUCCUACAAUCUAUUAAAUUAGGCUAGUAGAUAUCUAGCAUAUGGUCAUUAUUUUUUAAAUUCCCAACUAUUCCUACCAUCUGUUAGAAUGCAUUUCAAUUAUCCCUUUGAUGGAUUGUGGUAGGAAGAUUCAUUACAAGGUAUUUUUUGGAAGUACAAAAGUUUCUUAUGAAAGAUAUUGGUAUGAUAUUUCGGGGAAGACAGACUGGCUUUUCCUAAAAAUGAGUGUAGGCAGGACGUGCUAUCCUCUUGUUGGAAGUUUUAUAUCCUGUUUUUUUGGAUGCUUUUUAACCUUUAGUUGAUUUAGUUGUAGCGAGAGGAGAGCUCUUAUGAGUUGGGAAGUUCAUUUUUAUGCUUUGGGAAUUAUGUGUCCUUGUUCCUUGUGGAGUGGGUCAAUGAUUCGUAACUUCAGAGUGCUUGGCUAACUUAUUAACUUUUGCAUUUUGAAAUUUAAACCUGAAAUCGUUGAGUUGCCUUUCUCAGGCAUCUAUUUGCCAUACCACAGUUUCCAAAAACAUUUAUUUUACCAAUAAACAAUCAAUUUCAGAUGUUUUAUUUCAGUAACAUCAUUUGUUUUCAGGGGAAAGUGACGGGUCUCAUUAUUUGUACAUGUUAGUGACAUCCUUUUUCUACUUGGAAGAGUUUAACCAUGUGUGUAGUUUGUUUUGCAUAUUCCAUGCUGACCCUUACCAUAAAUCAUACAAGAACUAUCUAUAACUGGGUUAUUAGCAUAACUCUUCAAGGUAUCUGAUCACAUUUUUUGACUUCUCGCCAGUAAUAGAACUAUAAUUAGUUAACAAUAAUGAAAUAAUAUCUUUAUUUAUAGAAGUACAGGAGUAAAUUCAUAUGUUUUCUUUUCUGUUGCAAUCUUAGCUUUUCAAACUGACAUGUUUCCUCUUCUGUCAGAAAUGGUUAGAUGUUUUGUUGUUUUUUACUGUUGUGCUAACUGUCACUCAGAGAGUUGUUACGCCAAUGUAAAUGCCCCAGUAUUAGAUUCAUAAGGUGAUGGCUGAUUUAGUCAUAUUUUUAAAUUAUAUUUCUUCCACGUGUCUGUUCAGAAAUCCAACUGUUGCAGUGGUUGAUUACUUUGUGAUUGCCACUGAAGCAGGCUAGUUUUUGAGGGAAUCUCUCUUUUUUUAAAAAGUUUUUUAUAAGUUAUGCUGCUGCUUGUACUUUCAUAUGAGGUACGGGCGGCGUAUUGCUAGUUUUGGAAGAAAGUUUUGUGAAUGUUUUUGUGAUUAAACACUUACCUUGGUUGGAUUGCCCUAGUCGAGAAGAAUGAUUGAGGAUGUUAUAAAUUGAACGACUGCGUUAUGUUUGCAAGCUAAUGGCUUUCUGGUGUAGUGAAGAAUGAUUUGUCUACACAAGGGUUUACAUCUUUUGACUUGAUAAGGAGUUUUUUCAAGGGUAUACAAUGCUGUCGCAAGCUCUGGAUCCAUCAAAUAUGAGGAUUUUUGGUGCAUCAGCUUCUUGUUCCUACUUUAGUUCAAUUGUCCCUGGGUAGAUUCUCUUUUGUUUGGGGGGAAUAUGGAGGGAGAAGACAGCCUAGGUUGGGUUGUAACUUUUGAGUUUGAAACCAAACAUUUUCUUCCAUACUAUAUACGCCUAUGAGGAGGCCAGCUUGUAAGUACUCAGUGGCUUAACGGUUGAAAUGAUGACUGCUGGUUCUUGAGCAGAAUAAAUCUUCCUUAAAACUACAGUGGGUCAUAACUGAUUAUUUAGUAUGAGUCUGGUUAAUUCUGAACGGAGCUAGUUUCAUUUCGGUUUGGUUGAAAUGGAACUGAGAAGGCUAAUGUCACGGUUUAAUUAGUGUUC